AUUGAACGCUGGCGGCAUGCCUUACACAUGCAAGUCGAACGGUAACAGGUCUUCGGGUGCUGACGAGUGGCGAACGGGGGAGUAAUACAUCGGAACGUGCGCGAUCGCGGGGGAUAACGAAGCGAAAGCUUUGCUAAUACCUCAUACGAUCAACGGAUGAAAGCAUGGGUGGGCCCGGCCUUGCGCGGACGGAUCGGCCGAUGGCAGAUUAGGCAGUCGGUGGGAUAAAAGCUUACUAAGCCGAUGAUCUGCAACAGGUCUGAGAGGACGACCCCCCAGACUGUGACUGAGAAACGUCCCAGACUCCUACGGGAGGCCACAGUGGGGAAUUUUGGGCGAGGGACGAAAGGCGAAUCUAGCCAUGCCGCGUGAAGGAUGAACGCCUACGGGUUGGAGACUGCUUUUGUACGGAAGGAAAAGACUCUGGUUAAUACCUGGGGUCCAUGACGGUACCGUAAGAAUAAGCACCGGCUAACUACGUG
This 482-nucleotide ribosomal RNA is filed under the name uncultured bacterium. RNAcentral's name for it is "partial 16S ribosomal RNA". It matches the Rfam family "Bacterial small subunit ribosomal RNA", at positions 30 to 507 of the family's 1533-position model. The record is from RNAcentral.